This 1125-nucleotide ribosomal RNA is filed under the name Acinetobacter sp. An 2. Its description in RNAcentral is "bacterial SSU rRNA". It matches the Rfam family "Bacterial small subunit ribosomal RNA", at positions 52 to 1198 of the family's 1533-position model. The record is from RNAcentral. Lineage: Bacteria; Pseudomonadati; Pseudomonadota; Gammaproteobacteria; Moraxellales; Moraxellaceae.
AAAAGGCAAGUCGAGCGGAGAGAGGUAGCUUGCUACCGAUCUUAGCGGCGGACGGGUGAGUAAUGCUUAGGAAUCUGCCUAUUAGUGGGGGACAACAUUUCGAAAGGAAUGCUAAUACCGCAUACGUCCUACGGGAGAAAGCAGGGGAUCUUCGGACCUUGCGCUAAUAGAUGAGCCUAAGUCGGAUUAGCUAGUUGGUGGGGUAAAGGCCUACCAAGGCGACGAUCUGUAGCGGGUCUGAGAGGAUGAUCCGCCACACUGGGACUGAGACACGGCCCAGACUCCUACGGGAGGCAGCAGUGGGGAAUAUUGGACAAUGGGCGCAAGCCUGAUCCAGCCAUGCCGCGUGUGUGAAGAAGGCCUUAUGGUUGUAAAGCACUUUAAGCGAGGAGGAGGCUACUCUAGUUAAUACCUAGAGAUAGUGGACGUUACUCGCAGAAUAAGCACCGGCUAACUCUGUGCCAGCAGCCGCGGUAAUACAGAGGGUGCAAGCGUUAAUCGGAUUUACUGGGCGUAAAGCGCGCGUAGGCGGCUAAUUAAGUCAAAUGUGAAAUCCCCGAGCUUAACUUGGGAAUUGCAUUCGAUACUGGUUAGCUAGAGUGUGGGAGAGGAUGGUAGAAUUCCAGGUGUAGCGGUGAAAUGCGUAGAGAUCUGGAGGAAUACCGAUGGCGAAAGGCAGCCAUCUGGCCUAACACUGACGCUGAGGUGCGAAAGCAUGGGGAGCAAACAGGAUUAGAUACCCUGGUAGUCCAUGCCGUAAACGAUGUCUACUAGCCGUUGGGGCCUUUGAGGCUUUAGUGGCGCAGCUAACGCGAUAAGUAGACCCCUGGGGGAGUACGGUCGCAAGACUAAAACUCAAAUGAAUUGACGGGGGCCCGCACAAGCGGUGGAGCAUGGUGGUUUAUUCGAUGCACGCGAGACCUUACCUGGCCUUGACAUAGUAGACUUCAGAGAUGGAUUGGUGCCUUCGGGACUACAUAACAGUGCUGCAUGCUGUCGUCAGCUCGUGUCUUGAAUGUGGUAGUCCCGGCACGAGCGCACCUUUCUUAUUGCAGCGGUAUGUCGGGACUUUAUAGAUCUGCAUGACAAACUGAGAAGGCGGGACGACCUUCAAGCCCAUCAUGC